RNAcentral lists this long non-coding RNA (761 nucleotides) under Gossypium barbadense (sea-island cotton). Its description in RNAcentral is "long non-coding RNA (GBAR_LNC005489)". The record is from RNAcentral. Lineage: Eukaryota; Viridiplantae; Streptophyta; Magnoliopsida; Malvales; Malvaceae.
GAUGUGAAAGUGUAUAAAUGUGAUAAGUCCCGAAGGGCAUUUGUGUCAGUACUAUAUCCGGGUUAAAACCCCGCAGGCUUUAUGCGAGAAUAUUAUCACUGAUUAAUGUCCUUAAGCUUCGUGCUCGUACUAUAUCCGAGCUCUAAAGACCCGAUGACUACGUGUGGGGAUUUUGUCCGGGUAAGACCCGAUAACUUCGUGUGGAGAUUAUGUCCGGGUAAGACUUCGUAAUAAGAAUUGCUUAUAAAUAUAUUCAAUGCGAAAGGUUAAACAGGUAUGUACUCCAAGUUUAUAUGUGAGCUUGAUUUGCACUAAAUCAUAAGGUAGUUAUGUGAUGCAUACGAGAGCAAUCUAUGAGACUAUUCCUAUGAUUAUGUGACAUCGGAUCAGUGUGAGAGGUUAUGUGAAAUCAUACGAUAUAUCUAUGUCACAUGAGCUCACUUUUAUGUGAAAGUUUAUCUGCCUAUUGUAUAUGAUGAGAUGUGCAUAUUCGGUAAAGGGAUGGUAUGCCCGAAGGAAGGGUGAAAUAAAAAUACGAACAACUAUGUUAUAAUUUGAUUGUUAUCUGUUGACACUGCUUAAAACUUACUAAGCAUUGUAAUGCUUACUCCGUUUACUCUGUUUCCUCUGUUUUAUAGAUCUCAUUGCGAAGCUACAGGCUCGGGGAUCGUCAGCAACUAGUCACACUAUCACUAUCUACUGUUUGGUACUGCUAUGUUUUGGAUUAUCUUAUGGCAUGUAUAAAAUAGACUAGUGGCGGA